AGGGAUGUGUUUAAAAUUUUUCGAACUAACAGAUAGGGCCUUACUCUCUUCAAGAGUAGCGGUCAUUUGAGUUUGAAUAGCCGCUAUUUGUCGGGUGAGUGCAUCGAAUUGUGAGGGGUUCAUGUUUAAGGUACUAGAGCUAGAAGUGACAAGAUGACCAAUAUGUAACUACAUGCAAAGCAAUACUGCCUAAAUGAAAUGCAAUAGAGAGACCAAUAUGCAUCAAGGACCAACGAUUAAAACAUCAAUUUGAAAUUCUCUCUCUCUUUUCUUCCCUUCAAAAAAUGCAAGUUAAUAGUGCUGAUGCUUGUAAAUAAUAAAGUAAGGGUCCAAUGCUUGUUAAGAUCAAAUGGUAUUGUCAAGAUUUCCAAUCAGGUAAAUAAAAGAGGUAACAAUGGCACAUCAAUUCAGUGAGAUAAAUGGGGCAACAAUGGCAAGUCAAUUCAAUGAGUGAUUCCAGUCAAGUGAAGUUUGAGGCCAAAGUUGUGAUAGUAACAACAACACAAAGAAUCUAAGUGAUACACUUUUAAAAUAAAACAGCAGUAUAAACCAAUGAGAAUUAGGAGAUAGCAACUCCCUGUAGUCUAGUUGCUUGAAUUGCUAACGAUUGGGCCUCUGAUCUGCCUGUGUCAAAUGUCUCCAGCUCCUGAACUCACGGUCAUUACAUAUUCUAAAUUGUUGGCUUCACUGAAAUUGGACAGAUGCUGAAUUAGAAACCUCUGUGUAACUGAAUGGGUUGCUUGGUAGUAGACUGAAACUGUAGACGCUGGCUUAUGGAAAUAAUGAGCAAUGGCAAUUCACAAAUGGCAAGAAGUGGUCGGCUUCUGGGAUAAUGAACAAUGGCCGACCGAUUGAUGGUCGGCCGACUAAGUGGUGAAGUCCGACUGGGGUGCAAGUCGGCGACGGUGACGGGUAGGAGGGAACGAGCGACUGGACAUCGUGGGUAUUGACGGGGUGAGCUGCUGGUCGUGGGGAGUGACAGGAUGAGUUAGGGCUCGGGUUAGGAAAUUGAUUUGGGUAGUGAGAUAGGAGUUGGGUUGGGCCGGGUAUUGUGAGUUGGGCCGGCGAUUGGUGUAAUGGGCUAAUGUGGGUGUGGGCUGGAUAAUUGGUUUGUAUGGUAAUUGGGUCUUAUGGGCUUGGAGUAUAAGUAGAGUUGGAAUAAUUAAUCAAUGGGCUACUGUAAUUGGGUUAGGGAUAUGGGCUUGACCGAGUCUAUGGAUUACGAAUUAGUGGGUUAGGUGGGUUUGGGCUGUGUUCAAUAUGGGCUGAGUUUAGACUGAAAAUUAUGUUGGGCAGGAAUAUAUGUUGGGCUAGAAUAUAUGAAAUUGAAAAAAAAAAUAUAAGCUAGGGUUUGAAACAGCAAUUUUAAUGCAAAAGGAAGCAGCAAAUCAAUCAAAUUGAAUAGCAGAUUUUUUUUUUAUUUUUUAUUUUUUUAUUUUUUAUUUUUUUUUACAGAAUGAAAAUAAAAAAUUUGGAAUCCGGGUGUGAACAGUACCCGUGAACAGUAACACGAAUUUUUUUUUUCCUUCUUCUUUCUUUCUUAUUCAUCCUACAUCAAACACCAAUACCACUCUCAUUAUCUCCCCCUAACUUAGCUGAGGAAUUUUUAGUUGCAAUUUGCAAGUCAUCCUUGUACCGAAAAAUUUGGGAGAAAAGAAGAGAUUUUGGAUUGUAAAAGAAAGUACCCAAGAUUCGGCUCUGAUACCAAAUUUGAUGUAGGAUGAAUAAGAAAGAAAGAAGAAGGAAUGGGGAGGAGAAACAGAGAUAAGGGAGAAGAUGAGAAGAAACCAGGGGAAGAGAGGGGAGGGAGAAAACGGCUGCAAGCCACCAAAAAUAUUUCAAUUCUAAUUCAUCAUCAACUGUCUCAAAUGAGAAAUAAAACAGAAAUAAAUAGCAGAACACAAACCCUAAAGAGAAGGGCUUGGGCC
This 1928-nucleotide long non-coding RNA is filed under the name Olea europaea (common olive). RNAcentral describes it as "long non-coding RNA (OEUR_LNC003771)". The record is from RNAcentral. Lineage: Eukaryota; Viridiplantae; Streptophyta; Magnoliopsida; Lamiales; Oleaceae.